This 481-nucleotide ribosomal RNA is filed under the name uncultured Clostridium sp. RNAcentral describes it as "bacterial SSU rRNA". It matches the Rfam family "Bacterial small subunit ribosomal RNA", at positions 61 to 557 of the family's 1533-position model. The record is from RNAcentral. Lineage: Bacteria; Bacillati; Bacillota; Clostridia; Eubacteriales; Clostridiaceae.
GUCGAGCGAAUGAAGUCCCUUCGGGAACGGAUUUAGCGGCGGACGGGUGAGUAACACGUGGGCAACCUGCCUCAUAGAGGGGAAUAGCCUUCCGAAAGAGAGAUUAAUACCGCAUAAGAUUGUAGUACCGCAUGGUACAGCAAUUAAAGGAGCAAUCCGCUAUGAGAUGGGCCCGCGGCGCAUUAGCUAGUUGGUGAGGUAACGGCUCACCAAGGCGACGAUGCGUAGCCGACCUGAGAGGGUGAUCGGCCACAUUGGGACUGAGACACGGCCCAGACUCCUACGGGAGGCAGCAGUGGGGAAUAUUGCACAAUGGGGGAAACCCUGAUGCAGCAACGCCGCGUGAGUGAUGACGGCCUUCGGGUUGUAAAGCUCUGUCUUCAGGGACGAUAAUGACGGUACCUGAGGAGGAAGCCACGGCUAACUACGUGCCAGCAGCCGCGGUAAUACGUAGGUGGCGAGCGUUGUCCGGAUUUACUGG